RNAcentral lists this long non-coding RNA (462 nucleotides) under Rattus norvegicus (Norway rat). Its description in RNAcentral is "long non-coding RNA NONRATT033123". The record is from RNAcentral. Lineage: Eukaryota; Metazoa; Chordata; Mammalia; Rodentia; Muridae.
CUGAGGAAAGCUACACAAGCAGUGGUUCAGAGACCCAGAGAUGUACCUUAAGUUCCUAGAAGAGACACAUGAAAAAAUCUAAAAUCUUCAGUCAGGUUCCAGGUUGUUCAUCUACGCAUUCUACAGGAGCAAUGUUAAAUACCGGUAUGAGGUUUUCAACAAACAAAUGCAUUCAAGGCCAGGCUAUUAAGACUUGGAGACAUCAGUGUCUACAGAAGCAGCAAAGUACUUUGAAGUGUGUUUGUGAAACAUUAUAGCUUUGAAAGAAUCUGUGGUGUCUAAACUUAGUCUUCAAAGACUUCAACAGGAGUGACAAAAACAUUCUGGAUUGGGAAAUGACUCUGAGCAAAUACCUGUAUAAAAGCAUAAUUGCAUGGAUAUCAGUAAUACAUGUACUGAAAACAAAAGACUGAAUUUUCUUUUACUUUUAGAAAUAUUUCUCUACAUUUCAAGUGUUAUCCC